Molecule: long non-coding RNA, 322 nt
Filed under: Androctonus crassicauda
Lineage: Eukaryota; Metazoa; Arthropoda; Arachnida; Scorpiones; Buthidae
Source: RNAcentral
GAAGAAGCCAUCUAUGUAGGCAUCAUGUCCAGGACAGUCGACCAGCGCUUUUCAGAGCAUAAGAAAGACUUAGAAAAAGGCAGAACAUCAACAGCAUUAACAGCAGCGGCCUACGAAGGAGGCAUAUUAGUCGAUUGGAAAGCGGCAAAAGUAAUUAGGCCUUUGAAGAAGGCAAAGCACGCAGUUUUAGUGGAAGCCAUGAAGAUAUAUGAAAGCGAAAAGAAUGAGAAACCCCUUAACAGUCACCUUUAGAAAGAGGUACCUGACCCAUGGAAAUAUCUAUUAAAUGGAGAACACGUUAAAAGAGUUUAAUUGGUAAUAG